This is a long non-coding RNA of Astatotilapia calliptera (eastern happy), 1399 nucleotides long. NCBI's taxonomy places the organism in Eukaryota, Metazoa, Chordata, Actinopteri, Cichliformes, Cichlidae. The record is from Ensembl.
GGGCGAUGGGCUCUGUCUGCCAGGCAGCUGACAGCACACACACACCUCAUGCCAGCCCCCACGUGUUGCCAAAGUGCAAAAGGGAAAUUUAAUAUUGCCAUCCCACACAGACUGUAACAACAGUUGUCCUAUUUCUAAUGUCCUCCUGCUCAAUCCCACGUGUUCAUCUGGAAUAUGUACAUAUAUUUAUACAACCUACUCAUUCACAUGUAAUCUGUAGACUCAAGUAAAGUGCAUUAUUCCAAGGCCACAUGUUUAUAUGUGUAGGUAGGUAGGUAGGUAGGUAGGUAGGUAGGUAGGUAGAUAUAUAUAUAUAUAUAUAUAUUGGAAGAAUGGGCCAAAAACAGACCUGAGCAAUGCUUGCAACUAGUUUCUCCAUACAGGUAGUAGGUAUUAAAUACAUUUCAGUAAGCAUGUUCAGUACUUUUCCCUGUGUCAUUUCUCAUUAUUACACAUGACUUAAUUUAUAGACAUCUAUGUUUUGAUUUUUUUGAUUUUUUUUUGCAUGUGUGGAUUGGAUGGAUUGUUACUGACAUCUGGCAAGAAUUUCAUCCCAAUAGCACCUUUAGAAAUAUGUGUGGCAUGUUCAAUACUUACUUUACCCACUGUAUAUAGUCUAAAAAUAACUGUUUAGACAUGAGAAUAGUGCACAUUGGGGCUAAUCUUAUUUUUUUACAUCCUCCAUAUAUAUAUAUAUAUAUAUAUGUUGUGUUUUUAAAUAAUGUUUGCAUGUGUAGGUAUGUUUAUGUAUAUGUAUACACAUAUACAUCAGUCUGUUUAUCUGUGCUUUUAAUUUUACACAGCAUCUGAGGGAGUAUAGCUAUAAUUUCAUUAUCCUUCCAUAAUGACAGUGAAAUACUAGGAAAAACUGUAAUAUAUUGUAAUGCCAUCUAACAAAAUUACUUUUUUCCUCAAGUGGACCAUAUUCUGUGUAACAAAUUUAUCUAUUUUGACACCUAGAAGCAUGUCAUCAUCCAAAUACUGUUAUCUUAACUGAGUUUGGCUCUGCUCUUUGAUUUGGCAGCCAAAUCAAAUGAAUCUUGAAGUUUGUGGUUGCCUUCAAACACAAAUACAAAUUCUCAGUUCUAUCAAGAGUUUGUUUGGUUUUGUUUUUUUGUUUUGUUUUUUUGUUUUUAGUAAUACUGUUAGUUUAUUGCACUGUACCUUGAAUACAGUCUUAAACUUUUUUGUUGCCAAAAUAUUAUUAUUGUUAUUAUUUUUAUUUUUUUUCUUUUGCAGUGAAAUAUAUCCUAUAAAUAACUUGUUUUAUUGGUUCAAAAUGUAACGUAUGUACACACACACACACACAUACACAUGUCAGUCUGUCUUUUAUAUAGAUUUUAUGAACCAUAUGACAGAGUAUAAUGACAAAAACACAUAAAAAAUUGUAAUAUGUAAU